Molecule: long non-coding RNA, 809 nt
Filed under: Anas platyrhynchos platyrhynchos (common mallard)
Lineage: Eukaryota; Metazoa; Chordata; Aves; Anseriformes; Anatidae
Description: lncRNA (ENSAPLG00000019064.1)
Source: RNAcentral
CAAAAAAAAAAACAGUUAGGAGGUGGAAAACUGGAGCUGUGCUCUGGUGACUGGUGUCUGCAACAGGCUAAUGCUCAUCGGUGCCAUCUCUAAAUCCCAGCAGGUGGAUAUGCACAAUUGCAGCACCUUCCAGUAGACAGCUGGCACCUCUGUUAAAUAUUUUGUGGCAAUACGUGAAUGCAGAGAUGACCACAGGAAUGCACUACGCAUGCUGUGCUGAGGUCUGAUUUAACUGUCUGAAGCCAAGAGAAGCUCCACAGAGACUGCUGAGGACACGCGCUGCAUAAAGCAGCUUUUGACUACUCCAUGACUCAGAGGAAAACCCAGGACACUCGUUAUAAAAUGUGGGAAUAAUGCUGCAUUGGCAAUAGAAGUGACACGAAGACCUAUUACUUCAAGAACCCCUUCAUCUCACAUUACCGUGAUUCCAAAUGGAUAUCAUUUUAAUCUAUUGGACAGUGCAAACUAUAGCCGAUAUCGAAAGUAAGAGGAAGACCUGUCUGUCUGCACACAUACCAUGCCAUAGUCCAUGUUUCAUUUGAAGUUUCAUGAGUGAGAUUAUGGACAGCCUUACAGCGACAACAUCUAGUGAUACAGUCUGUGUAAUUAUUUCACAGGGGCCAGAAACUCCUCCACCAUCCAAAAUAAGCCUCUGUCUCGUUCAGCCUGCUGGCUGAAAGGACAAGUAUCCAGCUGCUUGCACUAAGAUCACAGGAAAAUAUCUGAGGAGAUGAGAUCUGGUUGAUUUUCCUCCAGACUUCAGCAAGGUGAGUGAGACACCUGAUCUAGGCCCUCACUGUUAUUUCUCU